RNAcentral lists this ribosomal RNA (226 nucleotides) under Alexandrium margalefii. Its description in RNAcentral is "partial Bacterial large subunit ribosomal RNA". It matches the Rfam family "Bacterial large subunit ribosomal RNA", at positions 1903 to 2128 of the family's 2925-position model. Lineage: Eukaryota; Dinophyceae; Gonyaulacales; Pyrocystaceae. The record is from RNAcentral.
AGCCCGUGACUGAAGCCCCGGUAAACGGUGGCCGUAACAAUAGCGGUCCUAAGGUAGCGAAAUUCCUUGUCGGGUAAGUUCCGACCUGCACGAAUGGCGUAACGAUGGCCACACUGUCUCCUCCUGAGACUCAGCGAAGUUGAAGUGUUUGUGAUGAUGCAAUCUCCCCGCGGCUAGACGGAAAGACCCCAUGAACCUUUACUGUAGCUUUGCAUUGGACUUUGAA